This is a non-coding RNA of Dipodomys ordii (Ord's kangaroo rat), 58 nucleotides long. The record is from Rfam. NCBI's taxonomy places the organism in Eukaryota, Metazoa, Chordata, Mammalia, Rodentia, Heteromyidae.
UGGCUUAGUGGUAGAGUGCUUGCCUUGCAUGCAUGAGGCCCUGGGUUCGAUUCCUCAG